RNAcentral lists this non-coding RNA (28 nucleotides) under Bombyx mori (domestic silkworm). The record is from RNAcentral. Lineage: Eukaryota; Metazoa; Arthropoda; Insecta; Lepidoptera; Bombycidae.
UAAGCACACAAUCAUCGACAGAUACAGC